AGCAGAAGUGACUCAAUGGUAGAGUGCCACCUUGCCAAGGUGGAUGUUGCGGGUUCGAGUCCCGUCUUCUGCUCCAA
RNAcentral lists this transfer RNA (77 nucleotides) under Clostridium botulinum E3 str. Alaska E43. RNAcentral describes it as "tRNA-Gly". It matches the Rfam family "tRNA". From Rfam's summary of the family: Transfer RNA (tRNA) molecules are approximately 80 nucleotides in length. Their secondary structure includes four short double-helical elements and three loops (D, anti-codon, and T loops). Lineage: Bacteria; Bacillati; Bacillota; Clostridia; Eubacteriales; Clostridiaceae. RNAcentral also lists the same sequence under 2 other names. The record is from RNAcentral.